This 264-nucleotide long non-coding RNA is filed under the name Daucus carota (carrot). Its description in RNAcentral is "long non-coding RNA (DCAR_LNC005244)". Lineage: Eukaryota; Viridiplantae; Streptophyta; Magnoliopsida; Apiales; Apiaceae. The record is from RNAcentral.
GGGCUUUUCCAGUUGGAUUUUGGAUAUUGGACCAUCUCUGAAUUAAAGAAAAUUCUCUAAGCUUCGCGUGGGCUGUAAGAUCGUCAAAAUCUGAUGUACGGAACUCCCGAUAUGGCCCAAACAGCGAAAUAAUACGUGUAGCCCAAUAAAUCUGAAUUUCCAUCCAAAUUUGAGUCCAAUUGAGCUUUAUUUCUUCAAAUCCUUCCAACUUUAGGAAUUCCUUGCACUCUACAAUAAAACAUUAAAAUCUAUUAAAUAAAUAUC